This 438-nucleotide ribosomal RNA is filed under the name uncultured bacterium. RNAcentral describes it as "bacterial SSU rRNA". It matches the Rfam family "Bacterial small subunit ribosomal RNA", at positions 338 to 793 of the family's 1533-position model. The record is from RNAcentral.
CCUACGGGCUGCAGCAGUGGGGAAUAUUGGACAAUGGGCGAAAGCCUGAUCCAGCAAUGCUGCGUGUGCGAAGAAGGUCUUCGGAUUGUAAAGCACUUUCGACGGGGACGAUGAUGACGGUACCCGUAGAAGAAGCCCCGGCUAACUUCGUGCCAGCAGCCGCGGUAAUACGAAGGGGGCUAGCGUUGCUCGGAAUGACUGGGCGUAAAGGGCGCGUAGGCGGUUUAUGCAGUCAGAUGUGAAAUCCCCGGGCUUAACCUGGGAUCUGCAUUUGAGACGCAUAGACUAGAGGUCGAGAGAGGGUUGUGGAGUUCCCAGUGUAGAGGUGAAAUUCGUAGAUAUUGGGAAGAACGCCGGUGGCGAAGGCGGCAACCUGGCUCGAUACUGACGCUGAGGCGCGAAAGCGUGGGGAGCAAACAGGAUUAGAUACCCCCGUAG